This 253-nucleotide ribosomal RNA is filed under the name uncultured bacterium. RNAcentral's name for it is "partial 16S ribosomal RNA". It matches the Rfam family "Bacterial small subunit ribosomal RNA", at positions 524 to 776 of the family's 1533-position model. The record is from RNAcentral.
UACGGGGGGGGCAAGCGUUGUUCGGAAUUACUGGGCGUAAAGGGCUCGUAGGCGGCCAACUAAGUCAGACGUGAAAUCCCCAGGCUCAACCUGGGAACUGCGUCUGAUACUGGAUGGCUUGAAUCCGGGAGAGGGAUGCAGAAUUCCAGGUGUAGCGGUGAAAUGCGUAGAUAUUCGCAAGAACACCAGUGGCGAAGGCGGCUCACUGGCCCGAUACCGACGCUGAGGCACGAAAGCGUGGGGAGCAAACAGG